This 301-nucleotide ribosomal RNA is filed under the name uncultured bacterium. Its description in RNAcentral is "partial 16S ribosomal RNA". It matches the Rfam family "Bacterial small subunit ribosomal RNA", at positions 509 to 807 of the family's 1533-position model. The record is from RNAcentral.
CAGUCGCCACGGUAAUACGAAGGGGGCUAGCGUUGCUCGGAAUUACUGGGCGUAAAGGGAGCGUAGGCGGAUCGUUAAGUUGGGGGUGAAGGCCCGGGGCUCAACCUCGGAACUGCCUUCAAUACUGGCGAUCUUGAGUAUGAGAGAGGUGUGUGGAACUCCGAGUGUAGAGGUGAAAUUCGUAGAUAUUCGGAAGAACACCAGUGGCGAAGGCGACACACUGGCUCAUUACUGACGCUGAUGCACGAAAGCUGGGGGAGCAAACAGGAUUAGAUACCCCGGUAGUCCCUGUCUCUUAUAC